Molecule: ribosomal RNA, 1550 nt
Filed under: Enterobacter hormaechei
Lineage: Bacteria; Pseudomonadati; Pseudomonadota; Gammaproteobacteria; Enterobacterales; Enterobacteriaceae
Also listed under: 1 other name
Description: bacterial SSU rRNA
Rfam family: Bacterial small subunit ribosomal RNA
Source: RNAcentral
AAAUUGAAGAGUUUGAUCAUGGCUCAGAUUGAACGCUGGCGGCAGGCCUAACACAUGCAAGUCGAGCGGUAACACAGAGAGCUUGCUCUCGGGUGACGAGCGGCGGACGGGUGAGUAAUGUCUGGGAAACUGCCUGAUGGAGGGGGAUAACUACUGGAAACGGUAGCUAAUACCGCAUAACGUCGCAAGACCAAAGAGGGGGACCUUCGGGCCUCUUGCCAUCAGAUGUGCCCAGAUGGGAUUAGCUAGUAGGUGGGGUAACGGCUCACCUAGGCGACGAUCCCUAGCUGGUCUGAGAGGAUGACCAGCCACACUGGAACUGAGACACGGUCCAGACUCCUACGGGAGGCAGCAGUGGGGAAUAUUGCACAAUGGGCGCAAGCCUGAUGCAGCCAUGCCGCGUGUAUGAAGAAGGCCUUCGGGUUGUAAAGUACUUUCAGCGGGGAGGAAGGUGUUGAGGUUAAUAACCUCAGCAAUUGACGUUACCCGCAGAAGAAGCACCGGCUAACUCCGUGCCAGCAGCCGCGGUAAUACGGAGGGUGCAAGCGUUAAUCGGAAUUACUGGGCGUAAAGCGCACGCAGGCGGUCUGUCAAGUCGGAUGUGAAAUCCCCGGGCUCAACCUGGGAACUGCAUUCGAAACUGGCAGGCUAGAGUCUUGUAGAGGGGGGUAGAAUUCCAGGUGUAGCGGUGAAAUGCGUAGAGAUCUGGAGGAAUACCGGUGGCGAAGGCGGCCCCCUGGACAAAGACUGACGCUCAGGUGCGAAAGCGUGGGGAGCAAACAGGAUUAGAUACCCUGGUAGUCCACGCCGUAAACGAUGUCGACUUGGAGGUUGUGCCCUUGAGGCGUGGCUUCCGGAGCUAACGCGUUAAGUCGACCGCCUGGGGAGUACGGCCGCAAGGUUAAAACUCAAAUGAAUUGACGGGGGCCCGCACAAGCGGUGGAGCAUGUGGUUUAAUUCGAUGCAACGCGAAGAACCUUACCUACUCUUGACAUCCAGAGAACUUAGCAGAGAUGCUUUGGUGCCUUCGGGAACUCUGAGACAGGUGCUGCAUGGCUGUCGUCAGCUCGUGUUGUGAAAUGUUGGGUUAAGUCCCGCAACGAGCGCAACCCUUAUCCUUUGUUGCCAGCGGUUAGGCCGGGAACUCAAAGGAGACUGCCAGUGAUAAACUGGAGGAAGGUGGGGAUGACGUCAAGUCAUCAUGGCCCUUACGAGUAGGGCUACACACGUGCUACAAUGGCGCAUACAAAGAGAAGCGACCUCGCGAGAGCAAGCGGACCUCAUAAAGUGCGUCGUAGUCCGGAUUGGAGUCUGCAACUCGACUCCAUGAAGUCGGAAUCGCUAGUAAUCGUGGAUCAGAAUGCCACGGUGAAUACGUUCCCGGGCCUUGUACACACCGCCCGUCACACCAUGGGAGUGGGUUGCAAAAGAAGUAGGUAGCUUAACCUUCGGGAGGGCGCUUACCACUUUGUGAUUCAUGACUGGGGUGAAGUCGUAACAAGGUAACCGUAGGGGAACCUGCGGUUGGAUCACCUCCUUACCUUAAAGAA